CACAGUGCUGCCGGAGGAGAUGGGAGCUACACGGUGUACUGAACACCUGCUGCAGAGCAGCCACAUCAUGCCCACACCUGCCAGGACAGCUGGCACCCCGCGUGAGGACAGAGACACAGCCUGCUGUGACGAGCUACCUCUGUUCAUUUGAGCCUGAGAGAAAUUUGGUGUACUGGGGAAAAAACUCCACAAGAUUGUAAGCACAACUGCCAUGCAGAUAGAUGGGACAUAGCUGGGCAGAUAUUAAAAGUGGUCAUCUUGAGACAGUGACGCAUAUUAUUUCUAUUUUCUGGAUUUUUCAUAUUUUCAAUAAUACAACAAACGGGAAGCUCAUUAUUAGAUCCACUCUACUAAUCUUUGCUGGAGAACUUUAAGUCACAGACUCAGAGGCUUCCCAGACACAUGGAUGAGCAUCCUAGGGAAGAAGCAGAGUGAGCCUCUGGGGAGUCAGUGCAUGGACAUCUCUAGAAGUUUCUAUGGGGAAGAAACCUUGGCAAAGACUUUGGAAUCACAUCACUUGAAUAUAUUCAAGGACCUUCCUGUUUUCUUCAGGGUCAUAAAACUCUCCUUAAAAAGGGAUUUAUGCUUUUUAUGUCUUUUCCACAAACCAUGCUUGGAUGGAUACUUUAAAAAGAUUUCAACAGUUGAAAAGUACACAGAGCGGAACGGGAAAGAAGCAUUUGCCAUCCUCGCCUGUGAUGAUGUCAGCAUAAUGCUGGGGUGUCUGAGGAGUAUUGGUAAAGAAAUUGUUAAAGAAAUAAAAGCUUCUGAAGCUGUUAAUUAGACUUAUUCUCUCAUUUCUUCACUGAUUUCUUUAUUUAUUUUUAUUCAAGGUCAUGCUCAAAGUCCUAGCCUACUUGGCUGCUAAUUUUAGUCUUCUAUUUUAUUGUAGCAAGAAUAUUUAAUAAGAAAGCUACCCUCAUAAAUUUUUCAAUGUAAAAUACAGUAUUGUUGGCUAUAGAAACAGUGUUGUGCAGUGGCUCCCUCUAAGGAUACAUCUUGCAUGCUUGAGAUUUUAUUCCCAUUGAUUAGCAAGUCCCCAUUUCUGCCUCCCCCCAGCCCCAG
RNAcentral lists this long non-coding RNA (1065 nucleotides) under Capra hircus (goat). Its description in RNAcentral is "lncRNA (ENSCHIG00000004095.1)". The record is from RNAcentral. Lineage: Eukaryota; Metazoa; Chordata; Mammalia; Artiodactyla; Bovidae.